This 669-nucleotide ribosomal RNA is filed under the name uncultured bacterium. RNAcentral's name for it is "bacterial SSU rRNA". It matches the Rfam family "Bacterial small subunit ribosomal RNA", at positions 57 to 772 of the family's 1533-position model. The record is from RNAcentral.
GCAAGUCGAACGAGACCUUCGGGUCUAGUGGCGCACGGGUGCGUAACGCGUGGGAAUCUGCCCWWRGGUUCGGAAUAACWCKKRGAAAYSCGUGCUAAUACCGGAUAAUGUCUUCGGACCAAAGAUUUAUUGCCUUUGGAUGAGCCCGCGUCGGAUUAGCUAGUUGGUGAGGUAAAAGCUCACCAAGGCGACGAUCCGUAGCUGGUCUGAGAGGAUGAUCAGCCACACUGGGACUGAGACACGGCCCAGACUCCUACGGGAGGCAGCAGUGGGGAAUAUUGGACAAUGGGCGAAAGCCUGAUCCAGCAAUGCCGCGUGAGUGAUGAAGGCCUUAGGGUUGUAAAGCUCUUUUGCCCGGGAUGAUAAUGACAGUACCGGGAGAAUAAGCUCCGGCUAACUCCGUGCCAGCAGCCGCGGUAAUACGGAGGGAGCUAGCGUUGUUCGGAAUUACUGGGCGUAAAGCGCGCGUAGGCGGCUUUGUAAGUUAGAGGUGAAAGCCCGGGGCUCAACCCCGGARCAGCCUUUAAGACUGCAUCGCUAGAAUCCGGGAGAGGUGAGUGGAAUUCCGAGUGUAGAGGUGAAAUUCGUAGAUAUUCGGAAGAACACCAGUGGCGAAGGCGGCUCACUGGACCGGCAUUGACGCUGAGGUGCGAAAGCGUGGGGAGCAAA